RNAcentral lists this transfer RNA (73 nucleotides) under Chloroflexota bacterium. RNAcentral's name for it is "Chloroflexi bacterium tRNA-Phe". It matches the Rfam family "tRNA". From Rfam's summary of the family: Transfer RNA (tRNA) molecules are approximately 80 nucleotides in length. Their secondary structure includes four short double-helical elements and three loops (D, anti-codon, and T loops). The record is from RNAcentral. Lineage: Bacteria; Bacillati; Chloroflexota.
GCCGAGGUGGCCCAGUUGGUAGAGCGCCGCGCUGAAAACGCGGAGGCCGCCGGUUCGAUUCCGGCCCUCGGCA